UGCAAGUCGUACGGGAGUUUUUAACUCAAGUGGCGGACGGGUGAGUAACACGUAAGAAUUUACCUUUAGGAGGGGGAUAACAACUGGAAACGGUUGCUAAUACCCCAUAUGCUUUCGAGUGAAAUGGAUUUUUCCGCCUAGAGAGAAGCUUGCGGCUGAUUAGCUUGUUGGUGAGGUAAUGGCUCACCAAGGCGACGAUCAGUAUCUGGUUUGAGAGGAUGAUCAGACACACUGGAACUGAGACACGGUCCAGACUCCUACGGGAGGCAGCAGUGGGGAAUUUUCCGCAAUGGGCGAAAGCCUGACGGAGCAAUACCGCGUGAGGGAUGACGGCCUAUGGGUUGUAAACCUCUUUUUUCAGGGAGGAAUCAAUGACGUGUACCUGAAGAAUAAGCAUCGGCUAACUCCGUGCCAGCAGCCGCGGUAAGACGGAGGAUGCAAGUGUUAUCCGGAAUCACUGGGCGUAAAGCGUCUGUAGGUGGUUUAAUAAGUCAACUGUUAAAUCUUGAGGCUCAACCUCAAAAUCGCAGUCGAAACUAUUAGACUAGAGUAUAGUAGGGGUAAAGGGAAUUUCCAGUGGAGCGGUGAAAUGCGUAGAGAUUGGAAAGAACACCGAUGGCGAAGGCACUUUACUGGGCUAUUACUAACACUCAGAGACGACAGCUAGGGUAGCAAAUGGGAUUAGAUACCCCAGUAGUCCUAGCCGUAAACAAUGGAUACUAGAUGUUGGACAGAUCGACCUGUGCAGUAUUAAAGCUAACGCGUUAAGUAUCCCGCCUGUGCAAGUCGUUGCAAGUCGUG
This 801-nucleotide ribosomal RNA is filed under the name uncultured cyanobacterium. RNAcentral's name for it is "bacterial SSU rRNA". It matches the Rfam family "Bacterial small subunit ribosomal RNA", at positions 56 to 897 of the family's 1533-position model. The record is from RNAcentral. Lineage: Bacteria; Bacillati; Cyanobacteriota.